UGUAUUAGCAAAUAGUUUUUACAAUAUSGAUUUAAUCGACUAAAAUUCUAGGUAGAUUUAUGAUGAKGASAUUAUCUAUCUAUGUGUCUUGACCAAAUUUCGUGCCAGCAGUCGCGGUAAGACGUAAGAGACUAGUGUUAUUCAUCUUUAAUAGGUUUAAAGCGUACCUAGACGGUAAUUAAAGCCUAUAUCAGGAACUUGUUUACUAGAGUUAAAUGUAAGGGUGUAUUAAAGUACUGUUGAGUGUAGAGAUGAAAUUCGUUGAUACCAAAUAAUUGGCACAGGUAUAGGCGAAAGCAUCACUUUAUGUAAUAACUGACGUUGACGGACGAAGGCUUUGUGUCGCGAACAGGAUUAGAUACCCCAGUAGUCUUAGCAGAAAACUAUGAGUGUCAUAGGUUAGAUUUUAUUUGGUCUAUAAAUGAAAGUGUAAGCACUCCACCUCAAGAGUAAUUUGGCAACAUUGGAACUGAAAUCAUUAGACCGUUUCUGAAACCAGUAGUGAAGUAUGUUGUUUAAUUUGAUAAUCCGCAAAGAACCUUACCACAAUUUGAAUAUAAAUGAUUUAUUUUUACAAGCGUUGCACGGCUGUCUUCAGUUAAUGUCGUGAGAUAUUGGUUUAUUCCAUUAAAUUAACGUAAACCCGUACUUUAUUUUUAUAUAAAGUUGUUCAUUCGCUAUAAUGGAUGUGAUAACAGGGACUAAGACAAGUCAUCAUGGCCUAAAUAUUG
Molecule: ribosomal RNA, 731 nt
Filed under: Fuscopannaria praetermissa
Lineage: Eukaryota; Fungi; Ascomycota; Lecanoromycetes; Peltigerales; Pannariaceae
Description: SSU rRNA
Rfam family: Bacterial small subunit ribosomal RNA
Source: RNAcentral